RNAcentral lists this ribosomal RNA (465 nucleotides) under Vreelandella stevensii. RNAcentral's name for it is "partial 16S ribosomal RNA". It matches the Rfam family "Bacterial small subunit ribosomal RNA", at positions 338 to 795 of the family's 1533-position model. The record is from RNAcentral. Lineage: Bacteria; Pseudomonadati; Pseudomonadota; Gammaproteobacteria; Oceanospirillales; Halomonadaceae.
CCUACGGGGGGCUGCAGUGGGGAAUAUUGGACAAUGGGCGAAAGCCUGAUCCAGCCAUGCCGCGUGUGUGAAGAAGGCCUUCGGGUUGUAAAGCACUUUCAGUGGGGAAGAAAGCCUUGGGGCUAAUACCCUCGAGGAAGGACAUCACCCACAGAAGAAGCACCGGCUAACUCCGUGCCAGCAGCCGCGGUAAUACGGAGGGUGCGAGCGUUAAUCGGAAUUACUGGGCGUAAAGCGCGCGUAGGCGGUCUGAUAAGCCGGUUGUGAAAGCCCCGGGCUCAACCUGGGAACGGCAUCCGGAACUGGCAGGCUAGAGUGCAGGAGAGGAAGGUAGAAUUCGCGGUGUAGCGGUGAAAUGCGUAGAGAUCGGGAGGAAUACCAGUGGCGAAGGCGGCCUUCUGGACUGACACUGACGCUGAGGUGCGAAAGCGUGGGUAGCGAACAGGAUUAGAUACCCGAGUAGUC